RNAcentral lists this ribosomal RNA (371 nucleotides) under uncultured Methylibium sp. Its description in RNAcentral is "bacterial SSU rRNA". It matches the Rfam family "Bacterial small subunit ribosomal RNA", at positions 542 to 916 of the family's 1533-position model. Lineage: Bacteria; Pseudomonadati; Pseudomonadota; Betaproteobacteria; Burkholderiales; Sphaerotilaceae. The record is from RNAcentral.
AGCUCAGCAUUGGGCGUAAAGCGUGCGCAGGCGGCUAUGCAAGACAGAUGUGAAAUCCCCGGGCUCAACCUGGGAACUGCAUUUGUGACUGCAUGGCUAGAGUACGGUAGAGGGGGAUGGAAUUCCGCGUGUAGCAGUGAAAUGCGUAGAUAUGCGGAGGAACACCGAUGGCGAAGGCAAUCCCCUGGACCUGUACUGACGCUCAUGCACGAAAGCGUGGGGAGCAAACAGGAUUAGAUACCCUGGUAGUCCACGCCCUAAACGAUGUCAACUGGUUGUUGGACGGCUUGCUGUUCAGUAACGAAGCUAACGCGUGAAGUUGACCGCCUGGGGAGUACGGCCGCAAGGUUGAAACUCAAAAAAUUAGACGG